Molecule: ribosomal RNA, 482 nt
Filed under: uncultured bacterium
Lineage: Bacteria
Description: partial 16S ribosomal RNA
Rfam family: Bacterial small subunit ribosomal RNA
Source: RNAcentral
AUUGAACGCUGGCGGCAUGCCUAACACAUGCAAGUCGAACGGUAACGGGCCUUCGGGUGUCGACUAGUGGCGGAGGGGUGCGUAAUACACCGGAAUGUGUCCGAUCGCGGGGGCUAACGAGGCGAAACCGCUUCUAAUAGCGCAUACGAUCUACGGACGAAAGCAGGGGACCGCAAGGCCUUGCGCCGACUUAGCGGCCGCUGGUAGAUUAGAUAGUUGGUGGGUAAAAAGCUUAUCAAGCCGACGAUCUGUAGCCGGUCUGAGAGGAUGAUCCGCCACACUGGAACUGAGACACGGCCCAGACUCCUACGGGAGGCAGCAGUGGGGAAUGUUGGACAAUGGGCGCAAGCCUGAUCCAGCCAUGCCGCGUGCAGGAUGAAGGCCUUCGGGUUGUAAACUGCUUUUGUACGGAACGAAAAGCCUUCUUUUAAUACAGGGGGGUCAUGACGGUACCGUAAGAAUAAGCACCGGCUAACUACGUG